RNAcentral lists this long non-coding RNA (7501 nucleotides) under Zea mays. RNAcentral's name for it is "long non-coding RNA (ZMAY_LNC003436)". The record is from RNAcentral. Lineage: Eukaryota; Viridiplantae; Streptophyta; Magnoliopsida; Poales; Poaceae.
ACACAAUAUGUUUUAUUGGUUAUUGUUGAAGAACAAACUAAAAACGAGAAGUAUGUUGCGUAUAAUAGGCAUGAAUUUGGAGUCAUAUACUUGUGACAACUGCAUUGGGUAGAGGGAGGAAACUCUAUACCACCUAUUCCUCAGAUGCAACUUUACAGAUGCCUGCUGGAGCUCAAUUGGGUUAACUGCCCCACGAAUCUUGAAUCCAGAGAGAGCCUCAGCUAAUCUAAAGCAGCAACUCAACACACCUUUCUUCAUGGAAGUGAUCAUCUUAAUGGCAUGGAGUAUCUGGAAAUGUAGAAAUGGAUAGAAUUUUGAAAAUAUAGCGCCAACAGUGGAGACAUGCAAAGCAAAAUUCAAGAAAGAAUUUCUCUUGGUUAUCUAGAGAGCAAGAGAAAAAUAUGAUAGCGCAAUCCUAGAAUGGCUACCUCAUAUUCCUCAUUAGAUUUGUUUUCUCCUCUCUACCUAAAAGGGAAAUAUGGUUAACCUUUUACUACAAUUAAUUUUGGUGGUUGAAUGUCCAACACAAACAUAUGGACUAACUAGUUUGCCCUAGAAUUCAUAUAUUACAGGUGCAUAAAGUUCAACACAAAACAAUAAAUAUUCAAGUUAGGGACACAAAUUUAAAGGAGCAAAAUGACAUAAGUAUGUUGUGGUCUGGCGCACCGGACUGUCCGGUGUGCCACCAGACAGUGUCCGGUGCACCAGGCCCGUACAGGGUUGAACCAGCCACUCUUGGAAAAACGCAGGCGCGCUCAGCUGUAAUUCACUGGACUGUCCGAUGUGCCACCGGACUGUCUGCUGAGCCAGCGGAGCAAUGACUAAAUCGCGCCAACGGUCGACUCUGACGGGUGAACAAUGCAGCACAGUAUCGCGACAGAAGUCAGAGGGGCACCGGACUAUCCGGCGCACCACCAGACUGUCCGGUGCCACAAGAAAACAAAGGCGCCAACGGUCAACUGCUCCAGAACCCUAACGGUUGGGUGACGUGGCGGCGCACCGGACAGCCUACAGUGCAUGUCCGGUGGCGCACCGGACUGUCCGGUGCGCCCAUCGACAUCAGCCUCCCCAACGACUACUUUAGUGGUUGAGGGCUAUAAAUACCCCCAACCACCACAACUCCAAGCAUCCAAGAUUUCUGAACAUCACAUUCAAUACAAGAGCUCUAGCAUUCACUCCUAGACACAAUUCAAAAGGUCAAAGCCUCUCCAAGUCCCAAAUUCACCUCAAAUACUUAGUGACUUGUGAGAGAGUGAUUUUUUGUUCUUUUGAGCUCUUGCCUUUUGGAUUGCCUUUCUUCUUUCUCAUUCUUGUUCUCAAGUGACUUGUAAUCAAAGCAAGAGACACCUAAGAGUGUGGUGGUCCUUGCGGGGUCUUAGUGACCCGAUUGAUUAAAGGAAAGGCUCACUCGUUCUAAGUGACCGUUUGAGAGAGGGAAAGGGUUGGAAUAGACUCGGUCUUUGUGACCUCCUCAACGGGGACUAGGUUCUUUGGAACCGAACCUCGGUAAAACAAAUCACCGUGUUCAUUCGCUUGAUUUCCUUUUGAUUUGUUUUCCCCUCUCUCCCGGACUUGAUUUUAGUUCUAACGCUAACCCCGGCUUGUAUUGUGUGUUUAAAGUUGUAAAUUUCAGAUUACGCCUAUUUACCCCUCUGAAAGUCGCCUAGAGGGGGGUCAAUAGGCGGAAUCAGAAAAUUACAACUUUAAACACGCACUACAGGCCGGGGUUAGCAUUAGAAAUGAAUUCAAGUCCGAAAGAGAGGGGAAAACAAAUCAACUAAGAAAUAAAGCGGAUGAACACGGUGAUUUGUUUUACCGAGGUUCGGUUCUAAAGAACCUAGUCCUCAUUGAGGUGGUCACAAAGACCGGGUCUCUUUCAACCCUUUUCCUCUCUCAAACGGUCACUUAGACUGAGUGAGCUUUCUUCCUUGAUUUCUCGGGUCACUUAGACCCCGCAAGGACCACCACACGAUUGGUGUCUCUUGCUUCGCUUACAAGGUUUUGAGAAUAAGAAUAAGAGAAAGAAGAAAGCCAACCAAGCAACAAGAGCAACAAAGAAACACAAGAACGAUCCUCUCACAAGUCCUAAAACACUAGAAUUGAAUUGGGGACUUUGAUUGGAUCGGUGACUUUGAUUUGUGUCUUGGAGUGUUGCACUUUGCUCUUGUAUUGAAUGAAGUGUGAUGAAUGCUUGGAUGGUUGGAGUGAAGGUGGUUGAGGGGUAUUUAUAGCCCUCAACCACCAAACAACCGUUAGGGAGGGGCUGCUGUCGAUGGGCGCACCGGACAGUCAUGUGCGCCACCGGACACUGUCCGGUGCGCCAGCCACGUCACCCAACCGUUAGGGUUCGGGCGCUAUCGACCGUUGGAGCUUUGUCUUCUAGUGGCACCAGACAGUUCGGUGCCGCACCGGACAUGUACUGUUCACUGUCCGGUGCGCCUCUGACGGCUGCUCUGACUUCUACGCGCACUGUCCACGCACUGUAGCAUUUGCAGGGGUCCGUUGCAGUCGACCAUUGCGCGAGUAGCCGUUGCUCUGCUGGUUCACCGGAUAGUCCGGUGGCCCACCGGACAGUCCGGUAAAUUAUAGCGGAGCACGCCCAGACAAACCCGAGGGUGGCGAGUUUGGAGUUGUACGGUCCUGGUGCACCGGACACUGUCCGGUGUUCUAAACCAGGGCACCCUUGGCUUCUUUGCUCCUUUCUUUUUGAACCCUAACUUUGAUCUUUUAUUGGUUUGUGUUGAACCUUUAUGCACCUGUAGAAUUUAUAAUCUAGAGCAAACUAGUUAGUCCAAUAUUUGUGUUGGGCAUUCAACCACCAAAAUUAUUAAUAGGAAAAGGUUAAACCAUAUUUCCCUUUCAAUCUCCCCCUUUUUGGUGACUGAUGCCAACUGUUGGGGACCUUCGGCAUCCGAAGGUCCUCAAAAACAGGAUUUAAUAGUGUUUCUGGAGUAUAAUGUGUGAACAGGUAUCUUCGGACUCAAGGCAGGCAUCACAGUAGACCAGAAUAAUACGAAGGUUGGUGAAGCGCCGAAGGUGAAAGCAGGAAAGCUUCGGCGAGACAGCAGCAGUUGAAACCGACUUAAAGAUGAAAAGGCUAUCUAGACCUCGACAGAUUAUUAUAGGAUUAUUAUCAAGUGUAAAGGGCAUUAAUGUAAUUUUGUACGGGCUGCGUCCCGUGCCUAUAAAUAGGUGAACAGUACUCCCGUACUGUUCACGCUGACUUGGCAUUCGCUUUUUGCGUCACACUUGUACUUUCAUCUCAUUCCGAUUAAAGGUACACUUGUAGCUCAACAAUAUUUCUGUUUAUACCUAAUAAUAAUAUAUAAUUGUCCAUGUUGUCUUUUAUAUUCUUUAUAUUUCAUUCUUCGUCAUUGUCUAAUGAAUCUAAGACGGUACGUCCUUCAUAACCUUCGUCCGUAAACCAUUAUAUCCUAAGGGAAAUAAUGCUUCGGAGGACGAAGGACCUUAACGAUUAACAUUUUCUAUGUUGCCUUGUUCUUAACUCAUAGCACUUGAGAACAAGUCCCCAACAUUGGCGCCCACCUCCGGUGAACUCACUUCCACUCUGAGUUUUUUGAACACCUUCGGCGAUCAUAAACCUUCGUUAUGGCGCCGAAGAAGGCUUCAGCGACUGGGGCUGCAGCUCUGCAACCACUGGACCACAAUCAGGAGACAGUCUCCUUGCGGGAGGCCCGAAGCCAGAAAAGGAAGGCUGUCAGCCCAACACCACCAGAGGACGAGAUAGAUCAAGAAAUCAGAGAUAUGGAAAUGCUUCAUCAACAAGUACAGAGGAAAAAGGAAAAGAUGGCCAGGCUAGCUGAACUGCAGAGGCAGAUAGACGAAGCCUCUGAAGAAGUUCGUCAUCUUGUCCAGGACGAGCAGCACCAAAGGCCUCAACAUCAAGAUCUUCAUCAGGAGGGUUUCCCCAACGAAGAUGACUGGUAUGACAAUUUCCGUCAUGGGAAUUUUGUUUUUGAUGACGCUUCUCCUCUGUCCGCUGAGCUGCAGGCUACACCGUGGCCUCCGUCUUACAAGCCGCCCCAGCUUCCUGUAUUCGAUGGCCACUCAGACCCAAAGCAGUUUUUGAUGAGCUACGAAGCAACAGUAUCUUCGUAUGGUGGCAAUGCUUCAGUCAUGGCCAAAUCUUUCGUUAUGGCUGUCAGGAGUGUGGCUCAAACCUGGUAUUCCUCCCUUCGACCAGGAACGAUCACUUCAUGGCAGAAGCUGAAGGACUUGUUGUUAACUAGCUUCCAAGGAUUUCAAACGAAGCCGGUCACUGCUCAGGCUCUGUUCCAGUGCACCCAAGAUCACGAAGAAUACCUUCAGGCAUAUGUUCGAAGGUUCUUGCGUUUGAGGGCACAGGCACCAACGGUGCCCAAUGAAAUUGUCAUUGAGGCCAUGAUCAAGGGGCUUCGGCCAGGACCGUCAGCUCAGUACUUCGCUCGGAAGCCUCCUCAAACUUUGGAGAAGCUGCUCCAGAAGAUGGACGAGUACAUUCGGGCCGAUAAUGAUUUUCGCCAAAGAAGGGAGGAGGCUUUCAGGUUUUCUGAAAUGACCAGGGGCUUCGGAGGGAGGUUCUACCCGAGGCACGUGAGAUCAAUUCAUAACUCUACACAAAAUGAUGAUAGAGGAAGCCAACAGCAAAGGCCACAAUGUUCCUCACAGGCUUCGGGGCAACAGCAAAGCUCCUUCCGACCACCAGCUCCAAGAGGCAGAGGCGCCAGGGGCUUUGGAGGAAGAUUUGGCGAUCAACCAAGAAUAAUCUUUUGCUUAUUCUGCGGUGAGAACAAAGGACAUACUACCAGGAUGUGCCAUGUUACUAUUCAGAAGCAAAAGGAAAUAGCUGAAGCAGCAGCACAACAAGCUCAGCCGAAGCAGGUCAUGCAUACAGCUUCGUAUCAUUCGCCCUACAUCCCAGAAUAUGUGGGCAAUCAUCCUGCAGUUUCUGUUGCUUCGGCAAGUCAGCCCCAAGCUUCCUGGCAACAGCCUCCGCCUCCACCUCCGUUGCAACAAGGCCAGCAGCCAGAAGGGAGCCAGUAUGCUCCACACCUGUCACACUCGGUUCCAGGGGGUAGAACCGAGCGCAUACCAUAUGUGUGCCAGGAUCCAUUUCCACACAUAUGUUGACGUCACAAGUGUAGUAUAUCAAAAGACAAUGCAAUAAAGGCGUAAAGAGAGUAGAGUACUUUAUUACAUCAUCUGAAACAUUGUAUCUUUAACAAGUAUCACAUCAAAGUAAAGCGGAAAUAAACAACUAGGCAAUCUCCCACAGGAAGAUGACCGGCGCAUCGUUAGACUUAGAAUUCAUCGUCGUCGAUAAAAUCUCCAUCAAAGUCUCCAGCAUCACCCUCUGAUCAAAAUAUUAGCAAGGGUGAGCUCACUUAUGGUCGGGGCUCAGCAAGUGGGGGAAAAACUAAUGCAGGUAUAACAAGGUGAGGCUAAGGUUGAGCAGUAAGCAUUUUAGUUGGUCAAUAUUUUAUUAACAACACCUGUCUUACUAAUAAGUGUGAAUCCCAAAUAUCCCACUUAAACAAAGGAAUAUGAAUAUAACAAAAACACUUAAGUGAAACCACUUAAGCAAAUUAUUGGCAGAUCAUCGGAUCUCAAUUUAAUUCCAUCUUCAAGUUCAAUUAUCAUGUGAGGAGUCCAGGUCGCUCAUAACCGGGAGCACGGCUGAUAUAUCAGUUUUACACUCUGCAGAGGUGGUACAACUUUACCCACAAGCCAUGUAUCCCAUCUAGCCCGGGUUGAUCAGACCCUUAAACACUGCCGAGGUGAAUGGCUAGGGAUCCAUUAUGAGGCUUUCACAAAAUACCUUAAUACGAAGCAACCCACUAAGGUUUCUAAAGACGAUGGUGGUGGCCCCCUGGGUGAAGUACCUUAGCCAAGAAUACGACCCCAUGUUAACGUGGGCUGCCAGCACCUACCGCUCCCCCUCUUGCCCAUAUUUCAGGUAAGGUUGCUAGGCACUAAGCAUAUAGAGCUAAUUACCAAAGCCAGAGCCAUGAUAGCACUCGUGGUUGUACUGUUAUCCUGGGUGGUCACUCCAUGUUCCAAUUAAUUUGUAAUAAAGUUAUCUUAACCAUCGGGUUAAUGUCAUAAUUGCCAAUUAAAUUCUUGGAACAUUAAUACCAAUUAAUGAGUGACAUUAAAAUCGUUAAGUUGAGCGGUAGCACAAAUUUUGCACAGCUUAAUAAUUUUCCCAGGUUAAACAAGGAAUACAGGUAGUAAAUCUAGAAAAUCCUUAAUUAGGUAAACCCAUCAAAUUAUGCAAUAUAUCAAAAAGUAAACAUUAUUAUAUGCAAUGAGUGGGUACAAACAGAAUAUGCAGAGGGAGAAUCCACUUGCCUUGCUCAAAAGUAUCAUGUGGUUCGUCUUCGAACGUAUUCGGUUCUUCUACCACACAAUCGGCUUCUAAUAACGUCAUACGUUGUCAUACAAAGAGAAAACAUACAUCAAUAAAUAAACACGCACCAUUCAACAAACAAUGAAACAUACAUUUUACAAAGCGUACAUAUAAAAGGAAAACAUUCAAAAACAAAACUUGAUUUGUAACUAUAGUAAAAAUUUAAUCCUAACUUAAGGUUCGUCAUUAGAAUUAUUGAUUUGCUUCAUCUUUUACGAAAAUCUAAGUGAUAUUUAUAUAACCUAUUAUUACUAUUUAUUUAAAACAAACUAAGUAUAGGUCUAAGGAUAUGUUCAUAAAAAAGAACUAAAAUAGAUAAUAUUACCUUCAAUUUUAUGCAAGAUAUAUAUUUCAUGGGUGAACUACUUUUAAUUUGAAAACAAUAUAUACUCUGAAAUUUUACUUACAAAUUAUAUUAGUUAACUAUUUUUUUGGUUUUUAAAAUACCAAGGCGUAUAAAACAUACUACACUCAUAUGUAUGCAUAGCUUGAAUAAUAAACUAGUCUAUAUUCUAUGAGUAAAUAUACUAAACCGAUAACCAUUCUUUCAAUAUAGGAGUUAAGUUCCGUUUUAAUUUAUUACUUGAAAGCUACACAUUAUUACAAUGUAAUUCAAGUAAGAAUAUGACAAUACUAAACAUUGCUGCAAAUCAAUGAAUUAGAAUACAUAGCGCACUAAUAUGAUGUUAAUAAAACAAUAAUAAACUUAUUUGGAUUAGACUUUAUUGUGAAAGAAUGCAGCAACGAUUAACACAUAUUUAACCGUAGUUUCUAGUGGGUAGCAAAACAGGGUUUUAUUUAAAUACUUUUUGCACUGUAUGAAAUGUAGACGCAAUUUAACAAGAAACCAGAGACCUAAAUACGAGUCUGUCUUCUUCUACCUUGCUGCAACAUGACGAGCUGCAACGUGACGACUGCAACGUGACGAACUGUAGGGGAAAAAUGAAGGGCGUUGAUCGUUCGGGGCACCGGCUACGGCGGCGGAGAAGAACGUCAGCAGGACAAUCGACAGAGGCGCGGCCGAGGGGCUUGUUGGGGCAGUCACCAACGGCGGCAGUCGACCGGGGCGUCCUAGCGUCGGCGAACAGCAGC